UUCCGGUUGAUCCUGCCGGACCUGACUGCUAUCGGAUUGAUACUAAGCCAUGCGAGUCAUUGUAGCAAUACAAGGCAGACGGCUCAGUAACGCGUAGUCAACCUACCCUAUGGACGGGGAUAACCUCGGGAAACUGAGAAUAAUACCCGAUAGAACAUUAUACCUGGAAUGGUUUAUGUUUCAAAUAAUUUAUUGCCGUAGGAUGGGACUGCGGCCUAUCAGUUUGUUGGUGAGGUAAUGGCCCACCAAGACUAUUACAGGUACGGGCUCUGAGAGGAGUAGCCCGGAGAUGGGUACUGAGACACGGACCCAGGCCCUAUGGGGCGCAGCAGGCGAGAAAACUUUGCAAUGUGCGAAAGCACGACAAGGUUAAUCCGAGUGGUUUCUGCUAAAGGAACCUUUUGUUAGUCAUAGAACCACUAAUGAAUAAGGGGUGGGCAAGUUCUGGUGUCAGCCGCCGCGGUAAAACCAGCACCUCAAGUGGUCAGGAUGAUUAUUGGGCCUAAAGCAUCCGUAGCCUGCUUUGUUAGUUUUCGGUUAAAUCCAUACGCUCAACGUAUGGGCUGCCGGGAAUACUGCAAAGCUAGGGAGUGGGAGAGGUAGACGGUACUCGGUAGGAAGGGGUAAAAUCCUUUGAUCUAUUGAUGACCACCUGUGGCGAAGGCGGUCUACCAGAACACGUCCGACGGUGAGGGAUGAAAGCUGGGGGAGCAAACCGGAUUAGAUACCCGGGUAGUCCCAGCUGUAAACUAUGCAAACUCGGUGAUGCAUUGGCUUGAUGCCAAUGCAGUGCCGCAGGGAAGCCGUUAAGUUUGCCGCCUGGGAAGUACGUACGCAAGUAUGAAACUUAAAGGAAUUGGCGGGGGAGCACCACAAGGGGUGAAGCCUGCGGUUCAAUUGGAGUCACGCCGGAA
Molecule: ribosomal RNA, 914 nt
Filed under: uncultured archaeon
Lineage: Archaea
Description: bacterial SSU rRNA
Rfam family: Archaeal small subunit ribosomal RNA
Source: RNAcentral